UGCGGUUAUACAAAAAUUAAAUUAAUUUUUUUUAGGUUUUAAUAAAUAAAAUAGAAAAAAAUAAUUUAAAUUUUAAAUUAUAAAGUGAAAUUUAAAUUUAAUUAAAAUUUAUUUAUUUUUAUGAUAUUAAUAAAUUUUAUAAAAAACUAGGAUUAGAUACCCUAUUAUAAAAAUUUAAAUUAAAUAAUCUUAAAAUAGUAUAUAAUUUUUUAUAGAAACUUAAAUAAUUUGGCGGUAUUUUAGUUCAUUUAGAGGAAUCUGUCUAAUAAUUGAUAAUCCACGAUUAAAUUUACUUAAUUUUUAAUUUUGUAUAUCGUUGUUAAAAAAAUAUUUUUAAAUAAUUUUAAUAUUUUAAAAUUUUUAUAAAAAAUUAAAUCAGAUCAAGAUGCAGAUUAUAAUUAAGAAUAUGAUGGAUUACAAUAAAUUUAUUUUAUUUGAAUAUUAAUUUGUAAGAAUUGAUUGAAAUUGGAUUUAAAUGUAAUUUUAUUAAUUUUGUUAAAAUGAUUAAAAAAUUAAAAUAUGUACAUAUUGCCCGUCGCUUUCAUUUAUAAAUUGAAAUAAGUCGUAACAAAGUAGAGGUACUGGAAAGUGUUUCUAGAAAGAU
This 604-nucleotide ribosomal RNA is filed under the name Zygaena niphona niphona. RNAcentral's name for it is "partial 12S ribosomal RNA". Lineage: Eukaryota; Metazoa; Arthropoda; Insecta; Lepidoptera; Zygaenidae. The record is from RNAcentral.